CACAUGCCAGUCGAACGAUCCUUCGGGAUUGUGGCGGACGGGUGAGUAACACGUGCGAACGUACCCUUAGGUUCGGAACAACACAGGGAAACUUGUGCUCAUACCGCAUAAGGGCUUCGGGGGAAAGAUUUAUAGCCUAUGGAGCGGCCCGCGUCUGAUUAGCUUGUUGGUGAGGUAAUGGCUCACCAAGGCUACGAUCAGUAGCUGGUCUGAGAGGAUGGCCAGCCACACUGGGACUGAGACACGGACCAGACUCCUACGGGAGGCAGCAGUGGGGAAUCUUGCGCAAUGGGCGAAAGCCUGACGCAGCCAUGCCGCGUGGAUGCAUAAGGUCUUAGGAUUGUAAAAUCCUUUCACCGGGGAAGAUAAUGACGGUACCCGGAGAAGAAGCCCCGGCUAACUUGGUGCCAGCAGCCGCGGUAAUACGAAGGGGGCUAGCGUUGCUCGGACUUACUGGGCGUAAACUGCGCGUAGGCGGACAGUUAAGUUGGGGUGAUAGCCCGGGGCUCAACCUCGGAAAUGCCUUCAAUACUGGCUGUCUUGAGUACGGGAGAGGUGAGUGGAACUCCGAGUGUCGAGGUGAAAUUCGUAGAUAUUCGGAAGAACACCAGUGGCGAAGGCGACUCACUGGCCCGUUACUGACGCUGAGGCGCGAAAGCGUGGGGAGCAAACAGGAUUAGAUACCCUGGAGACCACGCCGUACACGAUGACUGCUAGUUGUCGGCAUGCAUGCAGCCGCGGUGACGCAGCUAACGCAUUAAGCACUCCGCCUGGGGAGUACGGUCGCAAGAUUAAAACUCAAAGGAAUUGACAAGGGCCCGCACAAGCGGUAGAGCAUGUGGUUUAAUUCGAAGCAACGCGCAGAACCAUACCACCUUUUGACAUGCCCGGACCGCCACAGAGAUGUGGCUUUCCCUUCGGGGACUGGGACACAGGUGCUGCAUGGCUGUCGUCAGCUCGUGUCGUGAGAUGUUGGGUUAAGAACCGCAACGAGCGCAACCCUCGCUGUUAGUUGCUACCAGGUUUGGCUGGGCACUCUAACAGGACCGCCGGUGGUAAGCCGGAGGAUGGUGGGGAUGACGUCAAGUCCUCAGCGCCCUUACAGGGUGGGCUACACACGUGCUACAAUGGCGACUACAGAGGGCUGCAAUCCCGCGAGGGGGAGCCAAUCCCUAAAAGUCGUCUCAGUUCGGAUUGCACUCUGCAACUCGAGUGCAAGAAGUUGGAAUCGCUAGUAAUCGCGGAUCAGCCUGCCGCGGUGAAUCAACGAGCGCAACCCUCGUUUAACUUUGCCAGCACAGCAACGCUGCG
Molecule: ribosomal RNA, 1311 nt
Filed under: uncultured bacterium
Lineage: Bacteria
Description: partial 16S ribosomal RNA
Rfam family: Bacterial small subunit ribosomal RNA
Source: RNAcentral